AUGAGAAUUGUAGAUGGUGAUAGUGCAUAUGGUGGCGUUGCUUAUGAUCUCCAAUCUUAUGCAAAUCGAAUCAUUAGUCUAUGCUGUUCCUCUUCCAGCUGCGAGCGCAAUUGGAGUGUAUUUAAUCAUAUCCAUACCAAAGGAAGAAACUGCUUGGAGUAUAAGAGAUUGAAUAAGCUAGCCUAUGUCUCUUACAACAGGCAAAUGACAACUAGGUUUCAAAAGUUAAGUGAGCAAGGUUGCAAAGGAAAGAGGGCUAAUGCACUUACCCUAGAAGAAUGUCAGUGGGAUAAUGAGUGGGUUGAUGUCAGUGCUGAAUUGGUUCAACAAAAUGAAGCUAACAAUGAUAAUCCACUACUUUGGUCCCAAGUUGAUGAGGCUGUUGGUGCGACAGAUGGUCUAAGUGGACGCCAUGUUCCAAGGAGGGCUCGCGGUGAUUUUAGUGAGUCAAGUCUAGUUUUGACCCACUGGCCCUCAUAUGGUUUAUACUCAAAGGCCAAAUCCGGUCAUCAAUGA
Molecule: ribosomal RNA, 516 nt
Filed under: Triticum aestivum (bread wheat)
Lineage: Eukaryota; Viridiplantae; Streptophyta; Magnoliopsida; Poales; Poaceae
Description: partial small subunit ribosomal RNA
Source: RNAcentral